This 465-nucleotide ribosomal RNA is filed under the name uncultured bacterium. RNAcentral describes it as "partial 16S ribosomal RNA". It matches the Rfam family "Bacterial small subunit ribosomal RNA", at positions 29 to 507 of the family's 1533-position model. The record is from RNAcentral.
ACGCACGCUGGCGGCGUGCUUAACACAUGCAAGUCGAACGGAAAGGCCCUGCUUGCAGGGUACUCGAGUGGCGAACGGGUGAGUAACACGUGGGUGAUCUGCCCUGCACUUCGGGAUAAGCUUGGGAAACUGGGUCUAAUACCGGAUAGGAGCCAUCUUUAGUGUGGUGGUUGGAAAGUUUUUUCGGUGUAGGAUGAGCUCGCGGCCUAUCAGCUUGUUGGUGGGGUAAUGGCCUACCAAGGCGGCGACGGGUAGCCGGCCUGAGAGGGUGUACGGCCACAUUGGGACUGAGAGACGGCCCAGACUCCUACGGGAGGCAGCAGUGGGGAAUAUUGCACAAUGGGCGCAAGCCUGAUGCAGCGACGCCGCGUGGGGGAUGAAGGCCUUCGGGUUGUAAACUCCUUUCGCUAGGGACGAAGCUUUUUUGUGACGGUACCUAGAUAAGAAGCACCGGCUAACUACGUG